RNAcentral lists this ribosomal RNA (492 nucleotides) under uncultured bacterium. RNAcentral's name for it is "partial 16S ribosomal RNA". It matches the Rfam family "Bacterial small subunit ribosomal RNA", at positions 29 to 507 of the family's 1533-position model. The record is from RNAcentral.
AGUGAACGCUGGCGGUAGGCCUAACACAUGCAAGUCGAACGGCAGCACAGUAAGAGCUUGCUCUUACGGGUGGCGAGUGGCGGACGGGUGAGGAAUACAUCGGAAUCUACUUUUUCGUGGGGGAUAACGUAGGGAAACUUACGCUAAUACCGCAUACGACCUACGGGUGAAAGCAGGGGAUCUUCGGACCUUGCGCGAUUGAAUGAGCCAAUGUCGGAUUAGCUAGUUGGCGGGGUAAAGGCCCACCAAGGCGACGAUCCGUAGCUGGUCUGAGAGGAUGAUCAGCCACACUGGAACUGAGACACGGUCCAGACUCCUACGGGAGGCAGCAGUGGGGAAUAUUGGACAAUGGGCGCAAGCCUGAUCCAGCCAUACCGCGUGGGUGAAGAAGGCCUUCGGGUUGUAAAGCCCUUUUGUUGGGAAAGAAGAGCAGCAGGUUAAUACCCCGCUGUUCUGACGGUACCCAAAGAAUAAGCACCGGCUAACUUCGUG